This 75-nucleotide transfer RNA is filed under the name Blastocystis sp. subtype 3. RNAcentral describes it as "tRNA-Ile". It matches the Rfam family "tRNA". From Rfam's summary of the family: Transfer RNA (tRNA) molecules are approximately 80 nucleotides in length. Their secondary structure includes four short double-helical elements and three loops (D, anti-codon, and T loops). The record is from RNAcentral. Lineage: Eukaryota; Bigyra; Opalinata; Blastocystidae.
AGAUCUAUAACUCAGUCUGGUUAGAGUGUACGCCUGAUAAGCGUAAAGUCGUUGGUUCAAGUCCAAUUAGAUCUA